UUUCCGUAGGUGAACCUGCGGAAGGAUCAUUACCGGGAUUGAUUUCUUUUGGAAUCAUCUCCAUGACCCUUUUUGUUUAUUCAAAAAUGUCUUUUCUUCGGCAAGACGUCUGAUUCGAAAGGAUUGGCCAUUGGUGCUUCUAAAGUACGAAUGUGUUUGCUUGCCGAAGUCUUUACUCUUUUUUUCUUGAAGUCUGAGUAUACAAACAAAUAAAUUAAAACUUUCAACAACGGAUCUCUUGGUUCUGGCAUCGAUGAAGAACGCAGC
Molecule: unclassified non-coding RNA, 267 nt
Filed under: uncultured fungus
Lineage: Eukaryota; Fungi
Description: sequence contains ITS1, 5.8S rRNA gene
Rfam family: 5.8S ribosomal RNA (bases 219-267)
Source: RNAcentral